Molecule: ribosomal RNA, 2927 nt
Filed under: Staphylococcus aureus
Lineage: Bacteria; Bacillati; Bacillota; Bacilli; Caryophanales; Staphylococcaceae
Description: bacterial LSU rRNA
Rfam family: Bacterial large subunit ribosomal RNA
Source: RNAcentral
AGAUUAAGUUAUUAAGGGCGCACGGUGGAUGCCUUGGCACUAGAAGCCGAUGAAGGACGUUACUAACGACGAUAUGCUUUGGGGAGCUGUAAGUAAGCUUUGAUCCAGAGAUUUCCGAAUGGGGAAACCCAGCAUGAGUUAUGUCAUGUUAUCGAUAUGUGAAUACAUAGCAUAUCAGAAGGCACACCCGGAGAACUGAAACAUCUUAGUACCCGGAGGAAGAGAAAGAAAAUUCGAUUCCCUUAGUAGCGGCGAGCGAAACGGGAAGAGCCCAAACCAACAAGCUUGCUUGUUGGGGUUGUAGGACACUCUAUACGGAGUUACAAAGGACGACAUUAGACGAAUCAUCUGGAAAGAUGAAUCAAAGAAGGUAAUAAUCCUGUAGUCGAAAAUGUUGUCUCUCUUGAGUGGAUCCUGAGUACGACGGAGCACGUGAAAUUCCGUCGGAAUUUGGGAGGACCAUCUCCUAAGGCUAAAUACUCUCUAGUGACCGAUAGCGAACCAGUACCGUGAGGGAAAGGUGAAAAGCACCCCGGAAGGGGAGUGAAAUAGAACCUGAAACCGUGUGCUUACAAGUAGUCAGAGCCCGUUAAUGGGUGAUGGCGUGCCUUUUGUAGAAUGAACCGGCGAGUUACGAUUUGAUGCAAGGUUAAGCAGUAAAUGUGGAGCCGUAGCGAAAGCGAGUCUGAAUAGGGCGUUUAGUAUUUGGUCGUAGACCCGAAACCAGGUGAUCUACCCUUGGUCAGGUUGAAGUUCAGGUAACACUGAAUGGAGGACCGAACCGACUUACGUUGAAAAGUGAGCGGAUGAACUGAGGGUAGCGGAGAAAUUCCAAUCGAACCUGGAGAUAGCUGGUUCUCUCCGAAAUAGCUUUAGGGCUAGCCUCAAGUGAUGAUUAUUGGAGGUAGAGCACUGUUUGGACGAGGGGCCCCUCUCGGGUUACCGAAUUCAGACAAACUCCGAAUGCCAAUUAAUUUAACUUGGGAGUCAGAACAUGGGUGAUAAGGUCCGUGUUCGAAAGGGAAACAGCCCAGACCACCAGCUAAGGUCCCAAAAUAUAUGUUAAGUGGAAAAGGAUGUGGCGUUGCCCAGACAACUAGGAUGUUGGCUUAGAAGCAGCCAUCAUUUAAAGAGUGCGUAAUAGCUCACUAGUCGAGUGACACUGCGCCGAAAAUGUACCGGGGCUAAACAUAUUACCGAAGCUGUGGAUUGUCCUUUGGACAAUGGUAGGAGAGCGUUCUAAGGGCGUUGAAGCAUGAUCGUAAGGACAUGUGGAGCGCUUAGAAGUGAGAAUGCCGGUGUGAGUAGCGAAAGACGGGUGAGAAUCCCGUCCACCGAUUGACUAAGGUUUCCAGAGGAAGGCUCGUCCGCUCUGGGUUAGUCGGGUCCUAAGCUGAGGCCGACAGGCGUAGGCGAUGGAUAACAGGUUGAUAUUCCUGUACCACCUAUAAUCGUUUUAAUCGAUGGGGGGACGCAGUAGGAUAGGCGAAGCGUGCGAUUGGAUUGCACGUCUAAGCAGUAAGGCUGAGUAUUAGGCAAAUCCGGUACUCAUUAAGGCUGAGCUGUGAUGGGGAGAAGACAUUGUGUCUUCGAGUCGUUGAUUUCACACUGCCGAGAAAAGCCUCUAGAUAGAAAAUAGGUGCCCGUACCGCAAACCGACACAGGUAGUCAAGAUGAGAAUUCUAAGGUGAGCGAGCGAACUCUCGUUAAGGAACUCGGCAAAAUGACCCCGUAACUUCGGGAGAAGGGGUGCUCUUUAGGGUUAACGCCCAGAAGAGCCGCAGUGAAUAGGCCCAAGCGACUGUUUAUCAAAAACACAGGUCUCUGCUAAACCGUAAGGUGAUGUAUAGGGGCUGACGCCUGCCCGGUGCUGGAAGGUUAAGAGGAGUGGUUAGCUUCUGCGAAGCUACGAAUCGAAGCCCCAGUAAACGGCGGCCGUAACUAUAACGGUCCUAAGGUAGCGAAAUUCCUUGUCGGGUAAGUUCCGACCCGCACGAAAGGCGUAACGAUUUGGGCACUGUCUCAACGAGAGACUCGGUGAAAUCAUAGUACCUGUGAAGAUGCAGGUUACCCGCGACAGGACGGAAAGACCCCGUGGAGCUUUACUGUAGCCUGAUAUUGAAAUUCGGCACAGCUUGUACAGGAUAGGUAGGAGCCUUUGAAACGUGAGCGCUAGCUUACGUGGAGGCGCUGGUGGGAUACUACCCUAGCUGUGUUGGCUUUCUAACCCGCACCACUUAUCGUGGUGGGAGACAGUGUCAGGCGGGCAGUUUGACUGGGGCGGUCGCCUCCUAAAAGGUAACGGAGGCGCUCAAAGGUUCCCUCAGAAUGGUUGGAAAUCAUUCAUAGAGUGUAAAGGCAUAAGGGAGCUUGACUGCGAGACCUACAAGUCGAGCAGGGUCGAAAGACGGACUUAGUGAUCCGGUGGUUCCGCAUGGAAGGGCCAUCGCUCAACGGAUAAAAGCUACCCCGGGGAUAACAGGCUUAUCUCCCCCAAGAGUUCACAUCGACGGGGAGGUUUGGCACCUCGAUGUCGGCUCAUCGCAUCCUGGGGCUGUAGUCGGUCCCAAGGGUUGGGCUGUUCGCCCAUUAAAGCGGUACGCGAGCUGGGUUCAGAACGUCGUGAGACAGUUCGGUCCCUAUCCGUCGUGGGCGUAGGAAAUUUGAGAGGAGCUGUCCUUAGUACGAGAGGACCGGGAUGGACAUACCUCUGGUGUACCAGUUGUCGUGCCAACGGCAUAGCUGGGUAGCUAUGUGUGGACGGGAUAAGUGCUGAAAGCAUCUAAGCAUGAAGCCCCCCUCAAGAUGAGAUUUCCCAACUUCGGUUAUAAGAUCCCUCAAAGAUGAUGAGGUUAAUAGGUUCGAGGUGGAAGCAUGGUGACAUGUGGAGCUGACGAAUACUAAUCGAUCGAAGACUUAAUCAAAUU